Long non-coding RNA from Bos grunniens (domestic yak), 1932 nucleotides. The record is from Ensembl. NCBI's taxonomy places the organism in Eukaryota, Metazoa, Chordata, Mammalia, Artiodactyla, Bovidae.
UUGAAAGCGUCAGUUUUUAGGGUUCAGUCUUCUUUAUGGCCCAGCUCUCACGUCCAUACAUGACUACUGGGAAAAAUCAUAGCUUUGACUGUACGGACCUUUGUUGGCAAAGUGGUGUCUCUGGUUUUUAAUAUGCUGUCUAGGUUUUUUAGAAUCAGGGUUUUCCUCUUUCCCUUGAUGGCAUCUCAUUUUGGGGGCUCCUGGGCCCAUGGGGGCUUACAGAGUGUGGUGGGUGACAAGAGGGACCCAAUUUUCCCUCUCCCUGUAUCAAGAGUGCCCUUGCACUCUGACUUCAACCUUGAAUGUGUGACUUGCUUUGACCAAUGAGAUGUUGCAAAUGAGAAGCAAUUCGAGGCUCCAAAAGCACUUGUAUGUUUACAGUCUCUAGAUCUUUCUCUCUGCCGUUACCACUAGGAGCGCCAACCUCAUCUGCGGACCCCAGAGAUGGAUGAGAGGUGCGUGGAGCGGGCCUGGCUCACUCCGGAGUGGUCCAGGCUGUCCUAGAUCCAGCAGCCCCAGCAAUGAGAGCCAGCCCGGCCACAGCUACUGCAGCCCGGAGAGGCUUGUUUCAGGAAGAAAGAAGCAGCCAGAAAAUACAGGCCGAAAAUUGACCUCAGCCUCAGCAUUCAAGGGGCAAGUAAGCCCAUUUGAAGCCAACCCUGAGGGUUCCAGACGCCAAAUAUGGGUUUUUCCCAAGAAGACAUUCAGAGAUCUCACGACUUCUUGAAUCAGCUCCUCCUCUGCCCCACGCCAUCACACCCCAACAUUAACCUGGGUGGUUGGGUGUGGGUCCGAGCAUGUGGCCCGAGGGCUCGCUAACUGCUGUGUGCGGGAUGCUUGGGGAGCGUUUGAAUGUCUCGGUACCCACAUGGCCCCCAGACCAACUAAAUCGGGGUCUGGAGGGUGACCUGGGCAACAGCACGUUCAGACGCCCCAGUGAUUCCAUGAGCAGUCAAGUCUAGGAGCCCACGGCCUGGUCUGCUCUAGGCCGAGAGGAACCUGGGUCGAAGUCCUCCUGCCCUCCUGCUGUGUGGCUUCAGGUGAGUCACCUGGAGUCAGAGCCUCCGUGUCCUCACCUGUGACGGGGUGUCCCUGGCUCGAGAGGGAUGCAGUGAAAGAGUCCGAGACGGGUGAGGCCUGGUGGGAGAAGCUGCCCUCUGUAAGUUCAGAAACCAAGGUACCAGGCUUUGGAGAGGGGGCCGCAUCCCACCUGGAAAAUGAGAUGGUCAGAUCAGACAUCACUUUGACGACAAAGGUCCAUCUAGUCAGAACGAUGGUUCAUCUAGCAGUCAUGUACGGAUGGGAGAGCUGGACCAUAAAGAAGGCUGAGCACUGAAGACUUGCUUUUGAACUGUGGUAUUGGAGAAGACUCUUGAGAGUCCCUUGGACUGCAAGGAGAUCCAGCCAGUCCAUCCUAAAGGAAAUCAACCCUGACUAUUCAUUGGAAGGACUGAUGCUGAAACUGAAACUCCAAUCCUUUGGCCACCUGAUGCGAAGAGCCAACUCAUUGGAAAAGACCCUGAUGCUGGGAAAGAUUGAGGGCAGGAGAAGGGAGCAACAGAGGAUGAGAUGGUUGUAUGGCAUCACCGAUUCAAUGGACAUGAACUUGGGCAAAUUCAGGAGAUGGUGAGGGACAGGGAGGCCUGGCGUGCUGCCAUCCAUAGGGUUGCAAAGAGUCAGACACGGCUUAGUAACUGAACAAUAACAGGUUCCCUUGGGCUCUUAACACACUGGGAGUCUGCAGUCAAAAGGGGUGAAUUGCAGGUGGUCCCGAAUCACCUUGAAAGUGAUUUCCCCCCAGCAGCUCAGGAAACAUCUGAAUCCUGACUGAGAAAAACGGGGCCUGCCAGCUACCAAGUUAGCCCCCCCAGCCCACCCCACCCCCACCUCUGCCCCAUCACUCAGCAGACUUGCCGUUCAGCCUUUCUUUGU